UACGGAGGGUGCGAGCGUUGUCCGGAAUCACUGGGCGUAAAGGGCGCGUAGGUGGCACGGUCAGCGUGUGGUGAAAGCCUGGGGCUCAACCCCGGGUCGGCCAUGCGAACUGCCGGGCUUGAGCACUGUAGAGGCAGACGGAAUUCCGGGUGUAGCGGUGGAAUGCGUAGAGAUCCGGAAGAACACCGGUGGCGAAGGCGGUCUGCUGGGCAGUUGCUGACACUGAGGCGCGACAGCGUGGGGAGCAAACAGG
This 253-nucleotide ribosomal RNA is filed under the name uncultured Gemmatimonas sp. Its description in RNAcentral is "partial 16S ribosomal RNA". It matches the Rfam family "Bacterial small subunit ribosomal RNA", at positions 524 to 776 of the family's 1533-position model. The record is from RNAcentral. Lineage: Bacteria; Pseudomonadati; Gemmatimonadota; Gemmatimonadia; Gemmatimonadales; Gemmatimonadaceae.